UAAGCGUGCGCAGGCGGUUAUGUAAGACAGAUGUGAAAUCCCCGGGCUCAACCUGGGAACUGCAUUAGUGACUGCAUAGCUGGAGUACGGCAGAGGGGGAUGGAAUUCCGCGUGUAGCAGUGAAAUGCGUAGAUAUGCGGAGGAACACCGAUGGCGAAGGCAAUCCCCUGGGCCUGUACUGACGCUCAUGCACGAAAGCGUGGGGAGCAAACAGGAUUAGAUACCCUUGU
This 230-nucleotide ribosomal RNA is filed under the name uncultured bacterium. Its description in RNAcentral is "partial 16S ribosomal RNA". It matches the Rfam family "Bacterial small subunit ribosomal RNA", at positions 563 to 791 of the family's 1533-position model. The record is from RNAcentral.